This 240-nucleotide unclassified non-coding RNA is filed under the name Hevea brasiliensis (rubber tree). Lineage: Eukaryota; Viridiplantae; Streptophyta; Magnoliopsida; Malpighiales; Euphorbiaceae. The record is from RNAcentral.
AUAGUCUUCCAUCCUGACAUUUGAGAAAGAUGAUAUCAAAAUCUAUAGAACACAGCAGCAGUCAGCUAAAAGAAUCAAGCGUGUGCAACAAAAAACUGGAUAUCUUUUAUAUAUCAACAAAUUUCUAUUCUGUAGUACCCUAUGACACAAAACUGAAUGUAGAAUCCACUCCCAUCAGUUCUCAACGGUCAUAUUCUCCUUGAUCAUUUAAUUUCUCAAUUGCUGCCAGUUCUCACUUAA